Molecule: RNA transcript, 7317 nt
Organism: Balaenoptera musculus (blue whale)
Lineage: Eukaryota; Metazoa; Chordata; Mammalia; Artiodactyla; Balaenopteridae
Gene: OTULIN
Gene name: OTU deubiquitinase with linear linkage specificity
Exons: 8
Source: RefSeq, a predicted model, not a curated record
CGCGCGCGGAAGCGUCCUGUGCGCCGUCGGUAACCGGCAGGCAGCAGCGCUGCAGUGGCGGCCACUGCCGGGUGCCCCGACGGGAGGGGCUCCGGAUCGCUGGGAGGCGGCCGAACCCCUGCGGCCCCGCCGCCGGCGGAGGCCCCAUGAGUCGGGGGACGAUGCUUCAGCCCGGAGCGUGGCCGGGGGAGAGCUGUGCCGAGAAGCCGGCGCGGGAGGCGGGGGCCGCGGCGCUGGACGGCGAGAAAGCUGUGGCCGGGGGGCAGCCGCGAGCCGCGGUGCGGUGCCCGGCCGAGCACGAGGAGGACAUGUAUCGUGCGGCGGAUGAAAUAGAAAAGGAGAAAGAAUUACUUAUACAUGAAAGAGGGUCAUCAGAACCCAGAUUAAGUGUAGCUCCUGAAAUGGAUAUCAUGGACUAUUGCAAAAAAGAAUGGAGGGGAAAUACGCAAAAAGCAACAUGUAUGAAAAAGGGCUACGAGGAGGUGUCUCAGAAAUUCACCUCCAUCAGGCGAGUCCGUGGAGAUAAUUACUGCGCGCUGAGGGCCACGCUCUUCCAGGCCAUGAGCCAGCCGGCCGCGCUGCCCUCCUGGCUGCAGGACCCGGAGCUCACGCUGUUACCAGAAAAACUCAUAAGCAAAUACAGCUGGAUCAAGCAGUGGAAGCUUGGACUGAAGUUUGAGGGGAAGAGCGAGGCCCUGGUUGAUAAAAUUAAGGAGUCCCUCACUUUACUGAGGAAGAAGUGGACAGGCUUGGCUGAACUGAGAACUGCUGAAGCGAGGCAGACAGCUUGUGAUGAACUGUUCACGAAUGAAGAAGAGGAGUACAGCCUCUACGAAGCUGUAAAAUUUCUAAUGCUAAACAGAGCCAUCGAACUAUAUGAUGAUAAAGAGAAGGGAAAGGAAGUACCAUUUUUCUCUGUGCUUCUGUUUGCUCGGGAUACGUCAAAUGACCCCGGACAGCUGCUGAGGAACCAUCUCAACCAGGUGGGACACACCGGUGGCCUUGAACAGGUUGAGAUGUUCCUUCUCGCCUACGCCGUGCGCCACGCCAUUCAGGUGUACCGGCUCUCCAAGUACAGCACCGAAGAGUUCGUCACCGUCUAUCCCACCGACCCCCCCGGGGACUGGCCGGUGGUGACCCUGAUCGCCGAGGAUGAUCGGCACUACAACAUCCCCGUCAGAGUGUGCGAGGAGACGAGUCUGUGAGACACGCUCGGGCGGCCCGGCGACUCGGCCAAGGUGCACCGGCGGCUCCUCGGCUCGGGCCUCGGGCCCGCAGGCCCCUUGGGAUGAGCUCUGAGCACUCUUGGGCCCUGUGAGCCAAGCUGGGCUGGAAUGCUCUGAAGACUAGCUUUUGAUAAUCAGAAUUAAUCAAGUUUUUUCCCUCACCUAUGAUGCAAUAUGUUUCACUGGGGGCCUUCAGAGCACACCUGUUGACAGGUGCAAACUGCAUCUCCAUAAAACAAACACAUUUGUAUCAGCGGAGACUUACUCUGGAGAGGAAAAUACGCUCAGAGCUCUCUCUAGUCGUAAACUGGCUUUCCGUUGUUUUUGAAGAUGGUAAUUUUUUUGUUUUGGUGGUAACGGGUCUCUGCAGUGCCCUUCCUGUGCACCUAUGCAGUCUGCUUACAUGGUAGGGUUCUGGGACAAAGCCUGCCAGUGGCCCAGCUGUAACAUCCUCUGAUAGUCUCAUCGAGCAGUGGUUUGGAUUUACACGUUAAUUAAAGCUCUUCUAAGCAGAUUGUCUAAUGGAAGGUUAGGAACUGGGUCCCCAGUAGUGAGUUAUUUAAAGGCUGGAGAAGGAGCUGCAGGGAGAGGCAGUGGCAGCAGGACGUCCUGGCUCUGAAGAACGUGACAGGCGCCUGCGGUUGGGAACACACCGGGUCUGGUGCUUGGUGCAGGCGCUGGGUGGUUGGCGGGCGAGCGCGGCUUGUCGCUCUCUAGGAUCGGGGCUGUUCCUUAGUCUCCACUUCCAUGGAUUCACCAUUUUAUAGUCAGAACAAGGCUUAGAUCCACCUGCUUUUUUAGAGGAGACCAAGGCCAAAUUACUAUUUUUUGGAGAAUGCUUCCAUUGCCAAAUCCGUGUGGCUCCUCUGUUGGAUGAAUAACAGCAAAGCGUCUCAGGCUUUUCAUGGGUAAGUUUAAAGAGAGCACGUGCUUAAAACUGACUGCAAAAGCAUGGCCGAGCUGCAUCUGCCCUUGAUUUGGCUAUGCCUGGGGUAGGCAGUGUUCUGGCCACGAGUGAUUGCAUGUCACAGGCUAGGGUGGUGCCUGGGGGCUGGACAGGGCAGCCCAGCUGAGCGUGGUCCGCAUUAGGGCCCGAAUCAUCCACGUGGGGUGUGUACUGUGGCCACGGCGCAAGGGAUGGGACGUGUCAUUGUUUAGGACUGUGUCAGUGGCAUCUGAAUUGGCUCAGUAUUUGUGGAUGUGGUGUUACCCUGAAGCACUGAGCUUUAUUUUAUAGUAAGUAAGAUCUUUAUUUGGUCCAAUUUAAGCUUAUAGUUUAUAAGCUAUCUAAUCUUUGGUUUUUUUUUUUUCCUCAGAGGGGCAAACCUUUUGUGAUAGUGUUAGUUUUGCUUUCACUUAAAAAUUAAAAUUCUUGGUUGAGAAAACUCAGAGGACCCAUAAAACUAUGCAGACUGUUACAUUAAUAUUGGUAUUUUUCCCAUUACCUCAUCAAUAAUAUUCAUCACGUUUUGGUAGCUACUUAUUCAUUGGAGUGUUUGAAUUAAAUUCUGCUCUAAAUGUGUGUGAAUGUGUUGGAGAGGCUUUGUUUUUCACUGUGAAAUGCAAUGGUGCCUCAAACAAGGAGGUACCUAGAAGCCAAAUGAAAGUAAAAAUGAUGAAUUCUUGUUGGCUUUGAUGCUUCAUUUUAUGUAACUUAAUUUUCAUGUAACUUAAAACAGGAAAUGCUUACCGUUCAUUCUUGAACAUUUUUAAAAGCACAACUUCAAACACUUAGGUUGUAUAAGGCAGUAGGGGUCUGUGUCCAUCUAACUGUUGGUUCAUAGCCGCUGCUGAAUUUAAUAAUAAUCGUGAUCACCUGUCUUUGCAUUUUGCGAAUGUUCUAAUCUUAGUGAACUUGAGUUGAGCUGGGCUUCUGGGCAGCUUGUUUACAUUUCAUACUUUUUUCUUGUUCCUGUGUGUGAUAUUGUUAGAGUGUGUGCAGAAAUUGUGGUCUUAACCACCCCAUUGAUAAAAUUCAAAAGGCUGCGUUUAAGUUGCUCUCUGUCCCAAGGCCUUAUUACACUCUGCUCUCAGACUGCCAUCCAGGCUUAGAGGGAUCACAGCAUAAGAGAAGUAAAGCUUUCAAAGAAACAGUCCUUCAGGAAAUAUAGAUGAUUGGCCAACUUUAAAAAUAUUUUUUUUGUUGCAACAUGCAAAUACGGUUGCCCCAAGUUUUAAUUCCAUUUUUCAUUCCUGGUCUUGGCCUGGUCGGGUGACAGCAGCAGAAUUGAAAUUGAAUUGAGACCAAAAUGGAUUCGGGAGGAUAAUCUACUCAGAGGGAAUUUCUAAAAUGAUAGUGUUCCAGAAAAAGGAAGAUAGUAGGAACGACACUGUGCUUACUUUCUAUCCCAGAGUUUAUUGCAAGAGUUCAGUGGUUUUGGACCCUAUGGUCUUGGCAGAAGGAUAAUGUCUACCUUAAACAGGCGUGACUUAUACCUUUGAGCUCAUUUAAGGUGCAUUAAACCUAAAAGAAUUUCCCUGUAACAAGUUCCAUGGAAUUAACGCUGCUCCCUCAGAACUUUUCCCGCUUCCCCUCCUCACCUGCUAAGCUCCUACAUUUACAGCAUCCAUUGAUUUCACUCAAAACACAUGGAACAGUGAUGGUGGCCGUUGAGAACAAGCUGCCAAUGUGCACUCUUUCACUUAUGAUCUCAGCGUCGGGGGGGGGGGGGGGGCGGGAUUUGAUCUGAAAUGUCAGUUCCUCUUCCUUAGAAUCCAGCAUAUCCAAAAAUGCUUUAAAAAGACAGAACAGGAUUGACCCUGCUGUCUAGAUAGAGCCAUUUACACUUUGGUUAUUCUGUUAUACAUUCGGUUAAUAUCUGGUAAAUACUGAUGAUUUUCUUUGAUUGUGGAAAACAGACAUUGCCUUUGUUUUCUUUCAUUAUUCUUUUUUCCCUCCAAUUCUAGAGCUUAUCGGGUAAAAUCUCAGGCCACAUGAAUCUCACACCUCUGUUGGAAGAAACACCUUUGUUGGUUUUUGUGUGCUUGUGUUUUCCUUUGUUUUUUAAGAGGCUGUGUUAUUCCUCCUGCCCUCUUCACCCCAAGGUGCUCUUUCACUUAAGAGUUUGUAGUCUGCAUUUUGAAGAGCUUCCAGGUGGUGACUAUUAGGUGCUGUCUCCCCUUUAAUGAUCUAGCAUUCUUACAUCACAGCAUAGAAGUAGGACUCAAAUAGACUUCCUGGCUUUUCCUCCUUUUUGGUGUUAAAGUUUGAUUGUUUUCCUCUCUGUCUCUUUCUAAAGCAAGACUUUGCAGGUACUCCCCCUUUGAAAGCCAGAAAGUGUUUUCAGAAGUAUAAACCUCCGGGGAAUGUUACUUGUAGGCAUACACAAAAAUACAUAGGUGCCUUUUUUAAAAGAUCUGUAUCUACUUAAAAACAAUAAAAAGGAAGCCCUGAAUGUGUGUGGAGUGAAUCUGAAUCUGAAAUGUGUGUGAAAGGUAUAGAAUCCCCAAACAGUUGAGCAAAGGCAGGGCACAGUGUCAAGUAAUUUAAAAAUGGCCCAAGGAACUGUAAGAAGUGAACUGAAGAAGGAGGAACUGAUUUUAGAUGAAAAAUGCCUUUUAAAAACAAAGCAACAGACGCCUGACAGACAGACCUCCAUGGCUUACGUUAUACAAGGAUAAAAAUCUGAACCGGUGGAAGACUUCUGUGCGUGGAUUCUGCAAAUUCCUUUUUCUAAAGUUUAAGUCCCCUACUUAACAGAAGGAGACUACGUAAUGCUUAACUCUUUCAGAAAAACUUCUUGGUGAUGUCUUCUGAGGGGCUGGAGAGAUCAGGGAGCCAGUGCUGAGUUAUGCAGUGAAUUAAGCCAUGGGCAGCUGAUGAUUAACACCUGCGUGACCCAGUUAAUAACUGGGAACCACGAGAAGCACAAAACUACACUGGUUCGGCUGCUCCCACCCUUGGUAGCAGUAGCAGUAGGAGCAAGGCGGGCUCGGCCGUGACCAGAAGGCGCGUGUGUGUAUGUACGAAUAUGCCUGCUUGCUGGCCUGCAGCCGCGUUGGGACGUUCUUAUGUGCGCGAGGUCCCGCAGCCUGAGACCCGGCCACAUUUGGGAGGGUCAAGCGCUCACUGAAGCUUGUGGGUAACUGACAUUUCUGAAUUAACAAGACAACCAAAGGCAGGAACGAACACUGUGAGCACCGGGGAUUGGAGGCUAUAAACAGGAAGGGGUGAUGGGACAUCCAAAGAACUUUCCCAAGUUCUCAGGGAGAAAAACGCACAAUAUGUGUCCCAUGUGUGGGUGAGGUCUGUCUAGAGAAGGUAUGUAUAAAUCUAUCAAGAAGCUGAAUUUAUUUUAAACACCAAAAGAAAAGAAAUCCCACAGAAAUUUGGAAGGGUAUUAUAGAUAUCACUAGAAAAAUUCAUAAAAUUUUUCACUGGCAUCGAAUAUACCAGUAGCCAUUUAUUUACAGAUACAGCCAUCCUCCUUACAUGGAAUCCCACGUGUCUGGGGACCAAGGAGGAGAGAGCUGGCAUUCUUUGCUUCCAGCGUGCCAGGCGCUAUAUGCUAAGCUAUUACCCCUUUGCAAAGUCUUAUAAGGUGGGUAUUCUUCUCAUGCCCACAUGGCAGCUGGGGAAGCCCAGGCUUAUAGUUUUCUGAGACCACCCAGCUGGUGAGUGGUAGGGUCAGGGUUUGAACACAGGCCGUGGGGCCUCCGGGCCCACAUCCAUGAACACGGUGUUAUGUGGCCCUGAAUUCAAGCCUAAGCUACUCUCCCUCCUUUGGCUCUCUGACCCUCCCCAACCCACCCCUUUUAAAUCAAAAUCCGCAAAGAGGGCAGUCAAGUGUCACUGAGAGCUCAGGGCCCUUGGCACCAUGCCCAGCCCUGCAUCUGAAUCCAUCUCCGGUUCACAGGGCCGGCUCUCAAAACCUUCUUGCUUUUGUUUGUUUGGGUAAGGGCCGAUUCAUUCCUCGAGCCACACUGGUUAAGAGCCAUCUCUGAGGGAGGAUUAAAGGCAGGCCUUUGAAAACUGUCUGGUAUCUGAUUAAUGAUGAGGAGCUUUCCCAGGCACUAUUAUUUGUCACACGUGCUUUUUCUCAGUGUCACAUGGUGGUUCUUUGAGGCUGGCCCUGGGCUCAGAAGGUUCAAAAAGACUCCGGAAAUAAUCUCAUGGCACAACUCAAUCGUGUUUCCUUCACUGCCUGAACAAGUGGGCACUCCCACCCAGAGCUGGAAAUGCAGUAAAACACUUUAAGAUAAAAUAAAGAACAUUUUCAGUAGAGGCCAUGUAUCAGUUAGCUAAGACUGACUUUACUUCCCCGUUCACUCUCUUAGUCUGCCUGCAGGUGCAGAAGACACCUAAGUGCUGGGAGAAGUAAAGCAGGUAUUAAAUUCUCCACUUGCUGUUUUCUGUAAGACAUCUCUGUUCUUGUAUUUCUGGCUUCUCCAGGCGAGAAUCUGAACGUAAGGUUUGCUUAGAAAUACUGUUCAUGCAGGUCAGCACUAUCCCCAGAUUUAUGUGCUUAAUUAUGUCUUUGCUGAUGGGGCUUUUAGGGGGUGAGGGUAGAGCGUGGUUGGUAUCACAGCAUCCAAUAUAAGUACCAGUGUUGUUUGGUUUAUGUUACCUUAAUGUUUUGGGGGAAAUACCUCUGUGUAACCAGAAUAAUCCUUGAUUGUUUUCUCUUGUUUCUGGGUCCAAUGUUCUCUGGCUUCACUAAACACAAAAUGAUCACUUAGCGCACCUAACGGCGUUUUAUGUCCUCACGUGCCGAUUUCACUACGUCUAUUCAGCGUUUCCUGAGAUAAUUUACAAAAAAAGUUUUCAGAUAUUUUACAUGGGCUUUGCUGACUCCUUACAUGUCUUAUCAGCAUAAAUCAACAGGAUAUCCAAGUUCACCAGGAAGUUGCUUAUGUUCAGAGCCCAAAGCACCUGGGAGCGAGAGCAGAUGCUGAAAUCAGAAAACCGAGCGGCCACGAAUAUCACGGCCUCGUUUUGUCCACACGUCUCAUCGUGAUUAUUGUUGGGAGGGUCUGGACCACACAUCUGACCAUUACAUACUGUUAUCUACCCACCGGAUAAGAAGAAAAAUGCUCCCCUACUGCUUCUGUCUUUAAGCUGAGAUGAAUAAAAGUGGUUUUUAAAAAAGCC